This 65-nucleotide transfer RNA is filed under the name uncultured Catonella sp. It matches the Rfam family "tRNA", at positions 7 to 64 of the family's 71-position model. From Rfam's summary of the family: Transfer RNA (tRNA) molecules are approximately 80 nucleotides in length. The record is from RNAcentral. Lineage: Bacteria; Bacillati; Bacillota; Clostridia; Lachnospirales; Lachnospiraceae.
GGUAUAGUGUAGUUGGUUAACGCGCCAGAUUGUGGUUCUGGAUACCGAGGGUUCGAGUCCCCUCU